AAAAUGGGAACCAUUACAUUUGUGCCAAGUGGCAAAAUUUGGUGAAGAGAGAGAGUAAAAGAUGUUUGACACGAAAAAUAGAGGAGAAAGACCUCCUCCACCAGCUGCGACACCACAUGCGGUGGCACGCUGCCCGAGGUGGGUAGGACACACUACCUGAGGCAGCAGUGGCCACACCUGCCCGACACCUACAUUGCAAGCCUAGCUUAUAGACGUUGAGCUACCCUGCCGCAUGCAGGGGCUGUCCUAAGUGCACUAGGGCGUCACGUGCAAGCCUACUUUGCGCAGGUCCCAAGCGCGCAGGCCUACUACACUGACAACGUGCACAGUGGACAGUGCCUGCUUGUCCAUGCACAGACAGGUCCUGCCUGCACGC
This 376-nucleotide long non-coding RNA is filed under the name Carica papaya (papaya). RNAcentral describes it as "long non-coding RNA (CPAP_LNC013191)". Lineage: Eukaryota; Viridiplantae; Streptophyta; Magnoliopsida; Brassicales; Caricaceae. The record is from RNAcentral.